CCCGAAAGACCCGGGAUAACAGCUCGAAAGGGCUGCUAAUACCGGGAUACCGACACGAAGCCGCAUGGUUUUGUGUUGAAAGGUUAAUUCCGCUUUCGGAUGAGCCCGCGUCCCAUUAGCUAGUUGGUGAGGUAACGGCUCACCAAGGCGACGAUGGGUAGCUGGUCUGAGAGGACGAUCAGCCACACUGGAACUGAGACACGGUCCAGACUCCUACGGGAGGCAGCAGUGGGGAAUCUUGCGCAAUGGGCGAAAGCCUGACGCAGCAACGCCGUGUGAACGAUGAAGGCCUUCGGGUCGUAAAGUUCUGUCAGGGGGGACGAAAUUUGACGGUACCCCCAGAGGAAGCCCCGGCUAACUACGUGCCAGCAGCCGCGGUAACACGUAGGGGGCGAGCGUUGUCCGGAAUUACUGGGCGUAAAGGGCGUGUAGGCGGCCGAUCAAGUCAGGUGUGAAAAUCCAGGGCUCAACCCUGGACGUGCACUUGAAACUGGUUGGCUUGAGUGCAGGAGAGGAAAGUGGAAUUCCCAGUGUAGCGGUGAAAUGCGUAGAUAUUGGGAGGAACACCAGUGGCGAAGGCGACUUUCUGGCCUGUAACUGACGCUGAGGCGCGAAAGCUAGGGGAGCAAACAGGAUUAGAUACCCUGGUAGUCCUAGCCGUAAACGAUGGGUACUAGGUGUAGGGAGCUUGAAAGCUUUCUGUGCCGUAGUAAACACAUUAAGUACCCCGCCUGGGGAGUACGGCCGCAAGGCUGAAACUCAAAGGAAUUGACGG
This 775-nucleotide ribosomal RNA is filed under the name uncultured bacterium. Its description in RNAcentral is "bacterial SSU rRNA". It matches the Rfam family "Bacterial small subunit ribosomal RNA", at positions 129 to 916 of the family's 1533-position model. The record is from RNAcentral.